AUACCUUCCCUUCUUCCUCUCCUCACCCCUUCUCAAUUUUCACAUAUCCCUCUCUCUCUCUCUCUCUCCCUCUAUCUCUCUCUCUAGGAUCAUGUUCUUCCAUGGAGGCUCUCUUUUACGAGUCUCGUGUUGUUUCUUUUAGAAUCUCGGUUCUCAAUUACUGGGAAAACCCAGAAGUUACUGCAGAGAAGAACAAAGAAGAAGAAGAAGAACGCAAAUCUAACCGUGGGAUCUAUUGGCCAAAUCGACGGUAAAAUUUUGUAACUUUUUUUUUUUUUUUUUUUUUUUUUU
Molecule: long non-coding RNA, 291 nt
Organism: Cucurbita moschata (crookneck pumpkin)
Lineage: Eukaryota; Viridiplantae; Streptophyta; Magnoliopsida; Cucurbitales; Cucurbitaceae
Exons: 2
Source: RefSeq, a predicted model, not a curated record